This 72-nucleotide transfer RNA is filed under the name Camelus bactrianus (Bactrian camel). It matches the Rfam family "tRNA". Rfam says of the family: Transfer RNA (tRNA) molecules are approximately 80 nucleotides in length. Their secondary structure includes four short double-helical elements and three loops (D, anti-codon, and T loops). The record is from Rfam by way of RNAcentral. Lineage: Eukaryota; Metazoa; Chordata; Mammalia; Artiodactyla; Camelidae. RNAcentral also lists the same sequence under 2 other names.
GAGGGUAUAGCUCAGGGGUAGAGGGCAUGCCUAGCAUGCAUGAGGUCCUGGGUUCAGUCCCCCGUACCUCCA